GACGAACGCUGGCGGCGUGCUUAACACAUGCAAGUCGAACGGAAAGGCCCUGCUUUUGUGGGGUGCUCGAGUGGCGAACGGGUGAGUAACACGUGAGUAACCUGCCCUUGACUUUGGGAUAACUUCAGGAAACUGGGGCUAAUACCGGAUAGGAGCUCCUGCUGCAUGGUGGGGGUUGGAAAGUUUCGGCGGUUGGGGAUGGACUCGCAGCUUAUCAGCUUGUUGGUGGGGUAGUGGCUUACCAAGGCUUUGACGGGUAGCCGGCCUGAGAGGGUGACCGGCCACAUUGGGACUGAGAUACGGCCCAGACUCCUACGGGAGGCAGCAGUGGGGAAUAUUGCACAAUGGGCGGAAGCCUGGUGCAGCAACGCCGCGUGCGGGAUGACGGCCUUCGGGUUGUAAACCGCUUUCGCCUGUGACGAAGCGUGAGUGACGGUAAUGGGUAAAGAAGCACCGGCUAACUACGUG
This 468-nucleotide ribosomal RNA is filed under the name uncultured bacterium. RNAcentral's name for it is "partial 16S ribosomal RNA". It matches the Rfam family "Bacterial small subunit ribosomal RNA", at positions 28 to 507 of the family's 1533-position model. The record is from RNAcentral.